Molecule: long non-coding RNA, 1055 nt
Organism: Toxorhynchites rutilus septentrionalis
Lineage: Eukaryota; Metazoa; Arthropoda; Insecta; Diptera; Culicidae
Exons: 4
Source: RefSeq, a predicted model, not a curated record
GGACCGCAAUGUCAAAAUUGCUGUUCGGCCAUUGCUCGUGAAAAAACAAAUUUGUUUACAUAACAAAUCAUAUCUUUUGGUGACAAAUGCAUUCAUUGGCAAAAUAGCUGCUCGCGCUUUACUGUAGGCAGAUAUCUACAAUCAGCGGUCAAAUUAAAAACAGUGCAGAAGGAUGUUUUGAGUAUAUUUUACCUUCUAGCGGCGCAAUCAAUGCUUUUCUUUCCAAGCAAGCAGCGUUUUAUUCGGAAAAAGCAUGAAAUAGAAUCGUACGUGGUACGAAUUUAUCGGCACAAUCUGAUCAAGGACGGAGGCAUCAUCAAACGGAAACUACGCGAGAAACUUUUCGAAGAGAUAAAACUGCGCCGCAACACUCGUGUCAAACUGGACGAGUUGGGCUGGGUGCUGAUGAACCACGAUUUGAUAACACGUAAUGAGCCAAUCCAACAGCAUGCCAAUGGUAAUCGACCAAAUCAUUUUAAAUUCAACAUGGAGCGGUUGCCUACUGGAGCAGCACGAACAGAACAAUCACGCUGAGUUGACUUCCGAAAAGCAAAACAAAUUCCUGCGUAUGCUGGAUGCAAUUUUACAAAACGACAAAGUUUUCAAGGAAAUUAAAGAGAUGGUAGUGGCGAAUCGACUUCAAUCGGAAAUUCGUUAUGUGACUGCGGUGGAACGUAUGCUGAAACACAAUUUGGACCCCACUUUGCGCUGCUGCUUUGUAUGCUGAGAGUAUUUCCGCACUGCCGAUGAGUAUACCAGUCAUUUCGAAAAAUUGUACGGUGAGAAAUUUCUUAUUGUUGCGGCGGUGGAUCGAUUUCAGACUAGUCAAAAGUUCAACGUUCUACAUCACUACAAUGCCCUCAAUCCGGUGACAAUAUUCACGAUUUGCAACGUAUACCACACAGCCCUAAUAAAAAAAAACAAGAAAAGACGGGUCUAAUAUUUUACAAUAAAGAACAAAUCUAUCACUUUCCACGAAAUCCGGAGAACCACUAUAUCGGUUCGACAUGGAAUGGCUGAUACAUAUAAGGCAGAAAAAAGGUUUAACUUUGGAA